Molecule: long non-coding RNA, 548 nt
Organism: Oreochromis niloticus (Nile tilapia)
Lineage: Eukaryota; Metazoa; Chordata; Actinopteri; Cichliformes; Cichlidae
Exons: 3
Source: RefSeq, a predicted model, not a curated record
ACGGGAGCAUACGCUGAGACGCAGACAGGCACAGACGGGAAAACAUAACUGAGCCAACGAGACACAAAACACAGGGAAGGCACCGGAACACAACUAAGAACUAAACACCAGCAGUACUACGUAUAACCACCAGUUCCCUGGAGGGAGGAGUGACUGAUGAUGGCGGUGUGUACAGUAUAUCUCUCUUUCUUAACACAGUCUCAAAGAGGAAGAAGAAGGCAGCACAGGAGUGGAUCCGCAAGCAUCCAGACAUUAAGGACUUUGAGCACUGAGGAUUUUUUUUCAUGCAAUUGUAAGAAAAUAGCUUUUAGAGGUGACCCAGCAGUAGUGUUAGCACUGCCAAAAUGAGUGUAAAGAAAAUGCUACACAUGCCACUGUUACUCAAUCCUGCAAGAUAGGAAAGGUUUGUUUUGCUUUUUGUUUUUUUGGUUCAAUGCAUCAAAACACGGAGCUGCUGUUAUUUUUUCUCUCUGACCCAGUUCCAUAGCAUAUACAACCUGCACUACAUCAUAUUCAUAGUGUACAGUUUCUGUAUUUAGUAACAUUUU